This is a long non-coding RNA of Drosophila serrata, 282 nucleotides long. Lineage: Eukaryota; Metazoa; Arthropoda; Insecta; Diptera; Drosophilidae. The record is from RefSeq and is a predicted model, not a curated record.
AGCUCCAGCUCCAGCUCCAGCUCCAGCUCCAGCUCCAGCUCCAGCUCCAAAUGCAGGUUCUGGUGGAGAUGCGUCAGGUUCAUUGCGACGCACCUUGAUCCCACCAAUUCCCAAAUUUACAAGAUCCCCAGUAGUAUUUUAACCAUCUCGUCUAAGACCAUGGGAAGAGAAUAAGCAGAAAGCUUAUAUCUAAAUAGAUAUUUAAAACAUGUAAAAUAGUUUCCAUUUGCUAUUUGAACAGAGCUGUAAAUAAAUGUGUUGUUUAGUCUUGGUCAUAAUCAA